Molecule: unclassified non-coding RNA, 318 nt
Filed under: plant metagenome
Description: partial contains 5.8S ribosomal RNA, internal transcribed spacer 2, and large subunit ribosomal RNA
Rfam family: 5.8S ribosomal RNA (bases 1-105)
Source: RNAcentral
GAAAUGCGAUAAGUAAUGUGAAUUGCAGAAUUCAGUGAAUCAUCGAAUCUUUGGACGCACAUUGCGCCCGCCAGAAUUCUGGCGGGCAUGCCUGUUCGAGCGUCAUUUCAACCCUCGAGCUCCCCUUUCGGGGGGAGCCCGGCGUUGGGGACCCGGCGCUAACAACGCCGGCCCCGAAAUGGAGUGGCGGCCCGUCCGCGGCGACCUCUGCGUAGUAACAACCACUCGCACCGGGACCCGGGCGCGGCCACGCCGUAAAACACCCCACCUUCCGAAUGUUGACCUCGAAUCAGGUAGGAAUACCCGCUGAACUUAAGC